GGAAGGAUCAUUACUGAAUUGUCAAACGGGUUGUUGCUGGUCCUCAAAUGGGGACAUGUGCACGCUCUGUUUACACAUCCACUCACACCUGUGCACCCUCUGUAGUUCUGCGGUAUGGGGGACCCCGUCUUCCUUCUGUGGUUCUAUGUCUUUACACACACACUGUAAUAAAGUCUUAUGGAAUGUAUGCCGCGUCUAACGCAAUACAAUACAACUUUCAGCAACGGAUCUCUUGGCUCUCGCAUCGAUGAAGAACGCAGCGAAAUGCGAUAAGUAAUGUGAAUUGCAGAAUUCAGUGAAUCAUCGAAUCUUUGAACGCACCUUGCGCCCCUUGGCUAUUCCGAGGGGCAUGCCUGUUUGAGUAUCAUGAACACCUCAACUCUCAUGGUUUGCCAUGACGAGCUUGGACCUUGGGGGUUUUGCUGGCCUGUGGUCGGCUCCUCUCAAAUGAAUCAGCCUCCCAGUGUUUGGUGGCGUCACGAGUGUGAUAACUAUCUACGCUCGCGGUUGUCCACCAGGUAACCUUUGGUGACAAAGGUUCGCUGGAGCUCAUAGAUGUCUCUCCUCAGCGAGGACAGCUUUUUAACGUUCGAUCUCAAAUCAGGUAGGACUACCCGCUGAACUUAAGCAUAUCAAUAAGCGGAGGAA
RNAcentral lists this small RNA (648 nucleotides) under uncultured fungus. RNAcentral's name for it is "eukaryotic LSU rRNA". The stretch from base 213 to 367 matches the Rfam family "5.8S ribosomal RNA". The record is from RNAcentral. Lineage: Eukaryota; Fungi.